Molecule: ribosomal RNA, 442 nt
Filed under: uncultured bacterium
Lineage: Bacteria
Description: partial 16S ribosomal RNA
Rfam family: Bacterial small subunit ribosomal RNA
Source: RNAcentral
CCUACGGGUGGCAGCAGUGGGGAAUAUUGGGCAAUGGAGGCAACUCUGACCCAGCAACGCCGCGUGCAUGAUGAAGGUCUUCGGAUUGUAAAGUUCUGUGAUGGGGGAUGAACACAAUGACGGUACCCCAAUAGCAAGCCACGGCUAACAACGUGCAAGCAGCCGCGGUAAUACGUGGGUGGCAAGCGUUAUCCGGAAUGAGGGGGCGUAAGGGUGCGUAGGGGGUUUAGUAAGUUGGUGGUGUAAUUCCGGGGGUCAACCUCGGCGCUACCGCCAAAACUGUUAGUCUUGAGUGCAGGAGGGGUAAGUGGAAUUCCUAGUGUAGCGGUGGAAUGCGUAGAUAUUAGGAGGAACAUCGGGGGCGAAGGCGACUUACUGGACUGUAACUGACGCUGAGGCACGAAAGCGUGGGGAGCAAACAGGAUUAGAUACCCGUGUAGUC